RNAcentral lists this long non-coding RNA (762 nucleotides) under Homo sapiens (human). RNAcentral describes it as "non-protein coding lnc-EGLN1-4:1". Lineage: Eukaryota; Metazoa; Chordata; Mammalia; Primates; Hominidae. The record is from RNAcentral.
GAAUUUACACCAUGGAAACUGGCAAACGCUGCAAACACUGCCUCCCACCAUCACAGACAGCCAGUUAUUAAGCAUUUAUCAGCACAUUAUGUUGCCAGGGACUGUGCUCAGAGUUAUUGGGGGGAGAGGCAGUAGCAGUGUUAUGUAGUCAAGCUUAUAACUGAUAAACUGUAGUCAUUUGGAAAAACAGAAGCAACGCAGAGGAGAUGGGAGUGAACCAAGAACAUAGUAACCACCCUGAACCUCCUCAACAAACCCCAGAGGGACAUGUCCCCAGAGGAGAUGCAGAAGCACGGGGAGGAGGGUCCACUCUGUGCUCCGCAGUCAGUCAAGAACAACACUGAAGUGCUCACCAACUACUGACAACAACAAGCUGCUGGGCUGCGAAGGCCUUGAGUAGACACUGCAACAUGGUGCUGGAGAAUGUGAAGGAGAUGUGUACUGAGGUCCCCAAGGGGGGCAACGGUGGCAAGGGCAAGAAGAAGUCCAAGCCAGCCAACAAAGACCACUUCAUCUCCAAGCUCUUCCUGUGCAGGGACUCAGUCAUCACCAACAAGUGGGGGCCACCUCCCCAUUGACAGAACUCACUCCCUCAUCCUAUGAAGACCUACCCUUUGUUAUGGGGAUAAUAAAGCCCUGUGCUUUUUUUUUUCUAGUAGUAAAAACAAAACAUAACAACAACAAUAAAACUUUAGUCAUUUGGUCAUAUUAGGGAAGUCAUUUAUUAUUCUGUUUCUUCAGAAAUAAAAAACAGAUAACAAA